Molecule: long non-coding RNA, 433 nt
Filed under: Sorghum bicolor (sorghum)
Lineage: Eukaryota; Viridiplantae; Streptophyta; Magnoliopsida; Poales; Poaceae
Description: long non-coding RNA (SBIC_LNC002362)
Source: RNAcentral
GUGCAUGACCAAACUAAGAAGUGCAUGAUCACAUGAUAGUUAACAAAUAACGAGUGCAUGGCCUAGGGUCUUAAGUAUCAGAAUAGUUUAGAAACAUAUAGUCGCCGACACGCUCAUACAAGUUUAGAAUAAGCAGUUAAUUAAUAGACAUAGGAUCAUAGGACAUGAACAUCUAGUGAUCAUCGGCAUCAUCCAUGGGAUCACUUUCCAUGUCAUUUGCUUCCUCAUUGUCCACCUCAUUGUCCUUAUCUCCCUCCUUGUUAUUUUCCUACAAGUAUGCAAAGUCAAUUAAAUUAGAUGUAGCAGCUAGUAUAUUUCAUAGAAAGCAGUCAAUAAACAUACCUCAAUUUUCAGAUUAGCCACAACAUUAGUCAAAGCAUCAACCUCAAGAUCACUCACAAUUGAUCCAAGCUUUUUAGAAUCUGAAAAAAUA